CCUGACUCCAUUCCGAACUCAGAAGUGAAACGAAAUAGCGCCGAUGGUAGUGUGGGGUUUCCCCAUGUGAGAGUAGGACAUCGCCAGGU
RNAcentral lists this ribosomal RNA (89 nucleotides) under Vibrio parahaemolyticus. The record is from RNAcentral. Lineage: Bacteria; Pseudomonadati; Pseudomonadota; Gammaproteobacteria; Vibrionales; Vibrionaceae. RNAcentral also lists the same sequence under 1 other name.